UGAUGAUGAUGAUGAUGAUGAUGAUGAUGAUGAUGAUGAUGAUGAUGAUGAUGAUGAUGAUGAUGAUCAUGGUCAUGGUCAUGGUCAUGAGCUUGU
This 96-nucleotide microRNA precursor is filed under the name Guillardia theta CCMP2712. Its description in RNAcentral is "microRNA mir-598". Lineage: Eukaryota; Cryptophyceae; Pyrenomonadales; Geminigeraceae. The record is from RNAcentral.